Molecule: ribosomal RNA, 274 nt
Filed under: Platynothrus peltifer
Lineage: Eukaryota; Metazoa; Arthropoda; Arachnida; Sarcoptiformes; Camisiidae
Description: partial 28S ribosomal RNA
Rfam family: Eukaryotic large subunit ribosomal RNA
Source: RNAcentral
GAAAGUAAUUGGUUGAUUGAGUUACGAUCCUUAUGCAGUUAUCCGUAUGGGUAACGGUAGGGCGCAGUAACAGCCCGCCAAUUUCGCUUAUUGACGAUAUGGCGGAGUUGUAGCGUACACGUUGGUACCCGAAAGAUGGUGAACUAUGCCUGGGCAGGACGAAGCCAGAGGAAACUCUGGUGGAGGUUCGUAGAAAUUUUGACGUGCAAAUCAAUUUUCAGACCUGGGUAUAGGGGCGAAAGACUAAUCGAACCAUCUAGUAGCUGGUUCCUUC